This is a long non-coding RNA of Mustela erminea (ermine), 193 nucleotides long. RefSeq lists it as uncharacterized. The transcript is spliced from 3 exons. NCBI's taxonomy places the organism in Eukaryota, Metazoa, Chordata, Mammalia, Carnivora, Mustelidae. The record is from RefSeq and is a predicted model, not a curated record.
UGGAAGACAAGAGGCCAUUUGUUUCCUGUACAUCAAUCACCAUGGACCCGAGAUCUCAGGGUAUGCUCAUCAGAAGGGAGGCUGCACGAGCCCUGCUCCUAAAUUCUUGGAGAACACUCAAACAAGUCACCUAACUGCAAGAGCCCAAUUUAUCAGACUCUAUAGUGGAUAGAGGUGUGAAGAAAAAGCCAGA